This 301-nucleotide ribosomal RNA is filed under the name uncultured bacterium. Its description in RNAcentral is "partial 16S ribosomal RNA". It matches the Rfam family "Bacterial small subunit ribosomal RNA", at positions 509 to 807 of the family's 1533-position model. The record is from RNAcentral.
CAGUCGCCGCGGGAAUACGAAGGGGGCUAGCGUUGUUCGGAUUUACUGGGCGUAAAGGGCGCGUAGGCGGACUGAUAAGUCAGGGGUGAAAUCCCAAGGCUCAACCUUGGAACUGCCUUUGAUACUGUUUGUCUUGAGUUCGAGAGAGGUAAGUGGAACUGCGAGUGUAGAGGUGAAAUUCGUAGAUAUUCGCAAGAACACCAGUGGCGAAGGCGGCUUACUGGCUCGAUACUGACGCUGAGGCGCGAAAGCGUGGGGAGCAAACAGGAUUAGAUACCCCCGUAGUCCCUGUCUCUUAUAC